UACAGAGGGUGCUAGCGUUGUUCGGAAUUAUUGGGCGUAAAGGGCGCGUAGGCGGCCCUGUGUGUCGGGUGUGAAAGCCCACCUCUUAAAGGUGGAAUUGCAUUCGAAACUACAGGGCUGGAGUGUCGGAGAGGAUGGCGGAAUUCCUGGUGUAGAGGUGAAAUUCGUAGAUAUCGGGAGGAACACCAGAGGCGAAGGCGGCCACCUGGACAGACACUGACGCUGAGACGCGAAAGCGUGGGGAGCAAACAGG
This 253-nucleotide ribosomal RNA is filed under the name uncultured bacterium. RNAcentral's name for it is "partial 16S ribosomal RNA". It matches the Rfam family "Bacterial small subunit ribosomal RNA", at positions 524 to 776 of the family's 1533-position model. The record is from RNAcentral.